This 363-nucleotide RNase P RNA is filed under the name Oscillospiraceae bacterium. RNAcentral's name for it is "RNase P RNA component class A". It matches the Rfam family "Bacterial RNase P class A". Rfam says of the family: Ribonuclease P (RNase P) is a ubiquitous endoribonuclease, found in archaea, bacteria and eukarya as well as chloroplasts and mitochondria. The record is from RNAcentral. Lineage: Bacteria; Bacillati; Bacillota; Clostridia; Eubacteriales; Oscillospiraceae.
CGACUGGGCCGGACAGCCGCGGAUGGGAUCCGAAAGGACCCAGAUGAGGAAAGUCCGGGCUCCACAGGGCAAGGAUAACGGGUAACGCCCGCCGGGGGUAACCCCAGGACAAGUGCAACAGAGAGAUACCGCCCAGUCCCCUCCCUUCGGGGAGGACUGAGCAAGGGUGAAAAGGUGGGGUAAGAGCCCACCCGGCCCAUGGUAACAUGGGUUUUACGCUGUAAACUCUAUCCCGGAGCAACGCCGUGGAGGGACAUUCGGCCGGCCCGGCCGUCCCGAGGAGGCGGCUUGAUCCCGUGGGCAACCAUGGGGCUAGAUAGAUGGCUGUCAAGACAGAACCCGGCUUAUAGGCCCAGUCGCGCC